GGGAUUGUGGCUCAGUGGUAGAAUGCUUGCCUUGCACGCAUGAAGCCCUGGGUUCGAUCCUCAGCACCA
This 69-nucleotide transfer RNA is filed under the name Urocitellus parryii (Arctic ground squirrel). RNAcentral describes it as "Spermophilus parryii (Arctic ground squirrel) tRNA". It matches the Rfam family "tRNA". From Rfam's summary of the family: Transfer RNA (tRNA) molecules are approximately 80 nucleotides in length. Lineage: Eukaryota; Metazoa; Chordata; Mammalia; Rodentia; Sciuridae. RNAcentral also lists the same sequence under 1 other name. The record is from Rfam by way of RNAcentral.